UGUGUUGAUCAGGUUUCCCAGCCAGAAGAACGUGGGAGCUAACAUAGGCUACGAGUUCCGACCCAACAAGGACACAUCCUUUUCCUUGAAUGCUGAACACAGCCGUGGUAGUGGUGGCAGGUCCAACAGUUUUGGUGCUCGUUUUCAACACUUUUUCUGAAUAUAAGGCAUCACACGAUGGGAUAAUGAACAUCGGAACCUCCAACACUUCACUACUGGACAACCACAAGAUUUUCAGUAUCACUGAGGGAAUGUAAUGUACACAUUACGCUAAGAUUUAUUCUAAUAAACAUUUUUCAAAAUUAAA
Non-coding RNA from Cherax quadricarinatus, 307 nucleotides. The record is from RefSeq and is a predicted model, not a curated record. Lineage: Eukaryota; Metazoa; Arthropoda; Malacostraca; Decapoda; Parastacidae.